UGGUACACCAAGCGUGUGAGUCUAGCUGGCGUUUACAAAUCAACAGAGAUUUACAUGAUACAGGACAAAUCAGUUGAUCUACAGGACACAUGGGAGUUCCUUGACAACAGAAUUGAUAACUUAGUCUCAGUGGGAGAUUGUGCCACAAAGGCUAUGAAGGUGUCUGGUAUGACCUCGGAGGGCCUGACAGGCCUGUUUAAGAUGGGACAGAACAUCCUUGGCAUGAACUUCAAGUCUCGAUCCCGUUGAACUGAUCUGAUAUUCUAUAUUCCGUCUUUGCGUAUUGCAGAGUUAUCUUCUCUUGAGAACAGGUAUUGAUUGUUACGUCAUUGGUUCAU
Mizuhopecten yessoensis (Yesso scallop) is the source of this 338-nucleotide long non-coding RNA. RefSeq lists it as uncharacterized. The record is from RefSeq and is a predicted model, not a curated record. NCBI's taxonomy places the organism in Eukaryota, Metazoa, Mollusca, Bivalvia, Pectinida, Pectinidae. The transcript has 3 exons.